UAUCGGAUUGAUACUAAGCCAUGCGAGUCAUUGUAGUAAUACAAGGCAGACGGCUCAGUAACGCGUAGUCAACCUACCCUAUGGACGGGAAUAACCUCGGGAAACUGAGUAUAAUGCCCGAUAGAACACUAUACCUGGAAUGGUUUGUGUUCCAAAUGAUUUAUCGCCGUAGGAUGGGACUGCGGCCUAUCAGUUUGUUGGUGAGGUAAUGGCCCACCAAGACUAUUACAGGUACGGGCUCUGAGAGGAGUAGCCCGGAGAUGGGUACUGAGACACGGACCCAGGCCCUAUGGGGCGCAGCAGGCGAGAAAACUUUGCAAUGUGCGAAAGCACGACAAGGUUAAUCCGAGUGGUUUGUGCUAAACGAACCUUUUGACAGUCCUAGAAACACUGUUGAAUAAGGGGUGGGCAAGUUCUGGUGUCAGCCGCCGCGGUAAAACCAGCACCUCAAGUGGUCAGGAUGAUUAUUGGGCCUAAAGCAUCCGUAGCCGGCUCUGUAAGUUUUCGGUUAAAUCUGUACGCUCAACGUACAGGCUGCCGGGAAUACUGCAGAGCUAGGGAGUGGGAGAGGUAGACGGUACUCGGUAGGAAGGGGUAAAAUCCUUUGAUCUAUUGAUGACCACCUGUGGCGAAGGCGGUCUACCAGAACACGUCCGACGGUGAGGGAUGAAAGCUGGGGGAGCAAACCGGAUUAGAUACCCGGGUAGUCCCAGCUGUAAACUAUGCAAACUCAGUGAUGCAUUGGCUUGUGGCCAAUGCAGUGCUGCAGGGAAGCCGUUAAGUUUGCCGCCUGGGAAGUACGUACGCAAGUAUGAAACUUAAAGGAAUUGGCGGGGGAGCACCACAAGGGGUGAAGCCUGCGGUUCAAUUGGAUUC
RNAcentral lists this ribosomal RNA (876 nucleotides) under uncultured archaeon. RNAcentral's name for it is "bacterial SSU rRNA". It matches the Rfam family "Archaeal small subunit ribosomal RNA", at positions 31 to 913 of the family's 1478-position model. The record is from RNAcentral.